RNAcentral lists this ribosomal RNA (484 nucleotides) under uncultured bacterium. RNAcentral's name for it is "partial 16S ribosomal RNA". It matches the Rfam family "Bacterial small subunit ribosomal RNA", at positions 30 to 507 of the family's 1533-position model. The record is from RNAcentral.
AUUGAACGCUGGCGGCAGGCCUAACACAUGCAAGUCGAGCGGAUGAAGGGAGCUUGCUCCUGGAUUCAGCGGCGGACGGGUGAGUAAUGCCUAGGAAUCUGCCUGGUAGUGGGGGAUAACGUCCGGAAACGGGCGCUAAUAACGCAUACGUCCUGAGGGAGAAAGGGGGGGAUCUUCGGACCUCACGCUAUCAGAUGAGCCUAGGUCGGAUUAGCUAGUUGGUGGGGUAAAGGCCUACCAAGGCGACGAUCCGUAACUGGUCUGAGAGGAUGAUCAGUCACACUGGAACUGAGACACGGUCCAGACUCCUACGGGAGGCAGCAGUGGGGAAUAUUGGACAAUGGGCGAAAGCCUGAUCCAGCCAUGCCGCGUGUGUGAAGAAGGUCUUCGGAUUGUAAAGCACUUUAAGUUGGGAGGAAGGGCAGUAAGUUAAUACCUGGCUGUUUUGGCGUUACCAACAGAAUAAGCACCGGCUAACUUCGUG